This 434-nucleotide ribosomal RNA is filed under the name Caulobacter sp. MED22. RNAcentral describes it as "bacterial SSU rRNA". It matches the Rfam family "Bacterial small subunit ribosomal RNA", at positions 24 to 504 of the family's 1533-position model. The record is from RNAcentral. Lineage: Bacteria; Pseudomonadati; Pseudomonadota; Alphaproteobacteria; Caulobacterales; Caulobacteraceae.
UCAGAACGAACGCUGGCGGCAGGCUUAACACAUGCAAGUCGAGCGCCUUCUUCGGAGGGAGCGGCAGACGGGUGAGUAACGCGUGGGAACGUACCUUUCGGUUCGGAAUAGCCCCGGGAAACUGGGUGUAAUACCGGAUACGUCCUUAGGGAGAAAGAUUUAUCGCCGAAAGAUCGGCCCGCGUUAGAUUAGGUAGUUGGUGGGGUAAAAGCCUACCAAGCCUACGAUCUAUAGCUGGUCUGAGAGGAUGAUCAGCCACACUGGGACUGAGACACGGCCCAGACUCCUACGGGAGGCAGCAGUGAGGAAUCUUGGACAAUGGGCGAAAGCCUGAUCCAGCCAUGCCGCGUGAAUGAUGAAGGCCUUAGGGUUGUAAAAUUCUUUCAGCAGGGAAGAUAAUGACGGUACCUGCAGAAGAAGCCCCGGCUAACUCC